This is a long non-coding RNA of Zingiber officinale, 198 nucleotides long. RefSeq lists it as uncharacterized. The record is from RefSeq and is a predicted model, not a curated record. The transcript is spliced from 3 exons. NCBI's taxonomy places the organism in Eukaryota, Viridiplantae, Streptophyta, Magnoliopsida, Zingiberales, Zingiberaceae.
GGGUAUUUGAUUGGGUACUUGAUUUGGGGGCAUUCGUUGGGUGCUCAGCAGGUAUGGAUGUUUUCUAUGAAGCUGGAAUCGUGAGCAGUGUUAACAAGAACUGUUAUAUUGAGGACUUUGACACGAGACGAGUAUCUCGGAGUCAGGUAUUGGACCUUUCUUUUAUCGGAGGCGGUUACUUUUUACUUAUUGUCUUUG